Bradysia coprophila is the source of this 229-nucleotide long non-coding RNA. The record is from RefSeq and is a predicted model, not a curated record. Lineage: Eukaryota; Metazoa; Arthropoda; Insecta; Diptera; Sciaridae.
AAGUAUAUAAACACUGAAGGUAGCGCAGUCCCUCAGGGAAUAGCAAGAAAUACGGAUCCCGACUUUAAGGUGAAUUUCGUAUAACGCCAAUACAUAUAUUUACAGCAUGUUGUACGCAUUUGUAUUGAUAUACAAUAAAUUCACCUCAAAGUAGGGAUUCGCGUGUUUUUGCGGAUCUGCGCUACCUUCAGUGUUUAUAUACUUUGGCUUUUCUAGGGUGUGCAAAUCA